RNAcentral lists this ribosomal RNA (651 nucleotides) under uncultured organism. Its description in RNAcentral is "bacterial SSU rRNA". It matches the Rfam family "Bacterial small subunit ribosomal RNA", at positions 783 to 1437 of the family's 1533-position model. The record is from RNAcentral.
UACCCUGGUAGCUCACGCUGUAAACGAUGAUCACUCGUUGUCGGCUACAAGGUAGUCAGUGACUAAGGGAAACCAUUAAGUGAUCCACCUGGGGAGUACGUCGGCAACGAUGAAACUCAAAGGAAUUGACGGGGGCCCGCACAAGCGGAGGAACAUGUGGUUUAAUUCGAUGAUACGCGAGGAACCUUACCUGGGCUUAAAUGCAGGCUGCAUUCAUGUGAAAGCGUGAUUUCCUACGGGACUGCCUGCAAGGUGCUGCAUGGUUGUCGUCAGCUCGUGCCAUGAGGUGUCGGGUUAAGUCCCAUAACGAGCGCAGCCCCUAUCGCUAGUUGCCAGCAUGUAAUGGUGGGGACUCUAGCGAGACUGCCGGUGUAAACCGGAGGAAGCUGGGGAUGACGUCAAAUCAGCACGGCCCUUACGUCCAGGGCUACACACGUGUUACAAUGGCCGGUACAAAGAGCAGCGACCUGGCGACAGGGUGCUAAUCUUUAAAGCCGGUCUCAGUUCGGAUCGAAGUCUGCAAUUCGACUUCGUGAAGGUGGAUUCGCUAGUAAUCGCGCAUCAGCCAUGGCGCGCUGAAUAAGUUCCCGGGCAUUGUACACACCGCCCGUCAAGCCAUGGAAGCCGGGGGUACCUGAAGUCCGUAACCGA